This is a long non-coding RNA of Mauremys reevesii (Reeves's turtle), 1240 nucleotides long. RefSeq lists it as uncharacterized. NCBI's taxonomy places the organism in Eukaryota, Metazoa, Chordata, Testudines, Geoemydidae. The transcript has 5 exons. The record is from RefSeq and is a predicted model, not a curated record.
UGUUUAACCUGUGUUUAUCUAAAGGAAGUUUUUGUCCUUUGGGUUGUUUUCGAUUGGGCUUGGGUAACUUUUCUGAGCAUGGCUCUCGGAAGAGCAGCCAGAAUGGGGUUGGUUUUUUUUAUUAUUUUUGUUUUUUUAAAUCCGAGCUAUGUAAUAAAGAGGGAUUGUCCCAAGGGCACAAGGAAAGGCAGCUCCUGAGUGCUGGAAUUCCUGCCAGCGUCCCUUUGUGCCAGCCUCUGCUCGGCCUUUGGCGUCUCGUUUGGAUGAAGCCUGGCAUGCAGGCACCGCCCAUUUCUUAGCGCCGAGCUGUUAGGAGAAGGAAAGGGGGGAGAGAGAGAGAGAGAGAGAGGAGGGGAAAAAAAAAAAGCUGCCUCCCUCAAACUGGCCUUUCUCGAAAAAGGAUCCUUCCCCGAUGAUUGUCCGGAAAAGCGGAGCUAAAUCCAGUGGCUACUUCAACAACCAAACUAUUCUCCUCCACGGUGCGUCUCUCUCGCUGGCUUGGGUUGCUGUGCACUGUUCAACGCUUGCUGUAUUUCACCCCAGAGGUGGCUGCAUUUCAGUGGCGGAUGCAGCGCUUCCUGUGUCUUGCCCAAGCAGCAGUGCUUCCUCAGUCACAGGGAGAAGGCUUCUUUAUACUCUGGGACAUUUGACCAGCACAGCUUGACAUCAAUAGCCAGAACACCCUACCACACCUUGACCACCACCGCUGUCCAAUCCUCCCCUCCCAGCCAGCAAUGCUGAUCAGUGAUUCAGCAGGCCAUGCUGACAUCCUGGAGGAUGGCAGGACACACAGAAGGGCAUGGAAGAUCAACAACAUAAGAAGCACCGGGUUAAAAGCAGUCGGUGUCAUCCAAACAGCUGAUGGGACAAAACUGAACAGGAUUCUGCCUAUGUCUAAAGAAGUUUGGUCUACAGCAUCCACAUCUACUGUGCAUCCAAAUCCAAUUUGGAAUGUGUCCCGGUUAUUUGAUCCAGGUGAAAGCAUCACUCUUUCUAGCUGGUGGAGGUCUGUCUCAUUCAGUGAACUUUCUGGAUGGAAGAGAAGGAGCUGGGGUUGGGAAAUCAUCCAGAAUGGACUCAGGGCACAGUUCAGAGGCAAAGUCACAUGUACAAGUUGAAUGCACUCUGGCUGUAGGCCAUAGGAGAAGACCCUGAACUGGAUUUCUGUGCCCAGCUGAGAUGGACCCUCAAUGCCACCACCAUGAGGAGAAGAACCUCAACUGCAUUUCUAGGCUCUUGU